CAAACGUGUAAGCCAUUCUAAGAAGCCACCAGAGUUUGAGUUUUUUAAAUAAAUAUUUUAACAAUGCAACUAUCGUUUCUAUCGUUAGUUUUUGCCAUAGUUUUCGUUAUGGCGAUCAUAUACGCACCCGGAACGGAAGCAGAAGCUAUAUCCAACCCUGAUGCGAUGGGCGGAGCCGAACCGUUCUUGAUAGAUACCCUUACGAAACUUUUUGGGAAAAAGAAGUAAUAUUUUACGUGGAGCAAAAUUUAACUAAAACUCGCAACCGAGAAGCUGGAAAAAAGAUUGCAGUAAAAAUGUAGGAUAUACAAAGGAUGCAUAUAAUUAAUGUGUAUUUUUAAGCAAGAAUAUAAAUUAUAUUUGUAAGCUUCUAUUGCAUCUGUUCUUUUCAUAAUUGCAAAUUAAACAAGAAGGUUGCAUCAGGCGCCAGUGAAUGGACUCAAUGGCUGGUAUUCACAGUCAGAUCUUUUAUUUAAAAAUAAGCACGUCUUAAGUUAAUCGCACGAUGCUGUAUGGAACGUUUUAUUGGCUACGGAGGAGCCUGCAGAUGAUCUCAAGACGAUCUUAUCAUAAAUGUUGAGAUCUAUGACUACCGGACAAUCUGAAAUAAUUUGCCGAGUGUGACCAUUGUCAGGCUUCUCUUUAAUACCGACGUGUGCAAUAUUUGUGACUUACUUGACCAUCUCUCGGUAUACUACUCUGUAGUAUGCUGGUAAUUUCUUGACGUUUGCAUUACCAGCCUAGUCGUAGGGUUUGCGCAUGACUCGCAGAAGAUGUCGCGUCAAUGAUCCUUUCGAUAGCGGUCUGCAGAAUCCCGGAGGGAUGGCUGAUUCGCAGUCAUUUGGACUUAGCGAACCCACGCACCCAAUGUAAUAAACAUAUAAAGCAAAGUCCAUUUAAAAAAUAAUACGCAAAAUAUGAAUAAAAACCAGACCUUCUAUGCAUCUGAUAUAAAGACAAUAAAAGACAAUGAAAACUGAAUAAGUAUUAUAAAUUAUGUUUAGCCUGUCAAUUGCACUUAUUCAUAUAAGUACAUAUAUUCAGAUUUGUAGUGAAAAUCUUGUAGCGCAUCUCACACGUUCAGAUAAUUUGACUCGGUUACUCGUUACAAAUUGUACCUAGCUUAUAGUUUUCUAUCCAUUCGAUCACAUUUGUCCACACAGGAAGUUUAACAAAUAAAAGUAUAUCCAGAGUUUUUUAA
Molecule: RNA transcript, 1201 nt
Organism: Vollenhovia emeryi
Lineage: Eukaryota; Metazoa; Arthropoda; Insecta; Hymenoptera; Formicidae
Gene name: pilosulin-4-like
Exons: 4
Source: RefSeq, a predicted model, not a curated record